Molecule: ribosomal RNA, 309 nt
Filed under: uncultured bacterium
Lineage: Bacteria
Description: partial 16S ribosomal RNA
Rfam family: Bacterial small subunit ribosomal RNA
Source: RNAcentral
AGAGACAGCAGCAGCCGCGGUAAUACAGAGGGUGCGAGCGUUAAUCGGAUUUACUGGGCGUAAAGCGUGCGUAGGCGGCUUUUUAAGUCGGAUGUGAAAUCCCUGAGCUUAACUUAGGAAUUGCAUUCGAUACUGGGAAGCUAGAGUAUGGGAGAGGAUGGUAGAAUUCCAGGUGUAGCGGUGAAAUGCGUAGAGAUCUGGAGGAAUACCGAUGGCGAAGGCAGCCAUCUGGCCUAAUACUGACGCUGAGGUACGAAAGCAUGGGGAGCAAACAGGAUUAGAUACCCCAGUAGUCCCUGUCUCUUAUAC